GCAUGGAUGAAUUCUGUUCCAACUCUGUGGUGGACUCAGCCAGACACCAUGCAAGACUAGUACCUCAUAUCUAUGAACACGUAUGUGCAUGUUCUGCCCUCAGCUUCAUCCACCUACAUGGGUAUGAGUACAAUU
Small nucleolar RNA from Doryrhamphus excisus (bluestripe pipefish), 135 nucleotides. RefSeq annotates it as small nucleolar RNA SNORA15. The record is from RefSeq and is a predicted model, not a curated record. Lineage: Eukaryota; Metazoa; Chordata; Actinopteri; Syngnathiformes; Syngnathidae.